Molecule: ribosomal RNA, 1704 nt
Filed under: Triticum aestivum (bread wheat)
Lineage: Eukaryota; Viridiplantae; Streptophyta; Magnoliopsida; Poales; Poaceae
Description: partial small subunit ribosomal RNA
Source: RNAcentral
AUGGUACUCUCCCCAAUAAUUCCCCAUCAGAGUAAGGUCACAGAACUGACGGAUGAUACCAAGAAUGAUUCCUUGAAUCUGGAGCAGAAGAAAAAAGCGUGGCCUAUGGAACGGCACAGAUCUGCUGAAGUGAGUCAAGCAAUCUUAUCUAAGAUAGGGCAUGGUGGUUUCCAACUUUGUCAUCAGCCCCAAAUCCCGGAGAUCGUUAAAGGUGGUUGUACACCAAUAUCUUCAUGUGAUCCUUCUGGAGAAUUCACUGCAGACAGCAAUGGAAUGCACAGGCACACAAUCACAGAUGCUGCUUGGGAAGCCCUAAAGCAAUCAAUAGUUUACUUCAAAGGUCAGCCAAUUGGGACUCUUGCUGCAAUAGACAAGUCUCAGGCAGAACUCAACUAUGACCAGGUUUUCAUGAGGGAUUUCGUUCCUAGUGCCUUGGCUUUCUUGAUGAAAGGGGAACCAACGAUAGUGAAGAAUUUCCUGGUAGAGACUGCUCGCCUUCAAUCAAGAGAGAAGAUGGUUGAUCUUUUUAAGCUUGGACAGGGUGUGAUGCCAGCAAGCUUCAAGGUGCACCACUCCAACCAUACGAAGAAGACUGAAACUCUGCUUGCUGAUUUUGGUGAAAUUGCUAUCGGGCGAGUUGCUCCUGUGGAUUCUGGCCUAUGGUGGAUUUUUCUUCUUCGUGCUUACACAAAAUAUACAAGGGACAGUUCUCUGGCUGAAAGUCCUCACUGCCAAAGGGCCAUGCGCCUUAUUCUCAAGCUGUGGCUCUCUGAAGGGUUUGAUACAUCUCCAGCAUUACUUUGCGCUGAUGGUUGCUCCAUGAUAGACCGUAGAAUGGGUAUAUAUGGCUAUCCGCUUGAAAUCCAGGCACUCUUCUUCAUGGCUCUGAGAUGCGCCUUGAGUUUGCUGAAAGACUCUAAUGACGACUUUGUGUACCAAAUAACAAAGAGGAUCAAAGCUUUGAGCUACCAUCUGCGCAGUUACUACUGGCUCGACUUCCAAAGACUCAACGAAAUCUAUCGCUACAAGACUGAAGAGUACUCGCAGACAGCUCUGAACAAGUUCAAUGUGAUCCCUGAAUCGAUCCCUGACUGGAUAUUUGACUUCAUGCCUAGCCGUGGUGGCUACUUCAUUGGAAAUGUCAGUCCUGCAAGGAUGGACUUCCGCUGGUUCUGCUUGGGCAACUUCAUUGCGAUCCUGUCAUGUUUGGCAACUGGAGAACAAGCUGAGGCAAUAUUGGAUCUCGUGGAGGAACGCUGGGGAGAGCUUAUUGGAGAGAUGCCCCUGAAGAUCUGUUACCCUGCAAUGGAAAACCAGGAAUGGCAGAUAGUCACUGGAUGCGACCCAAAGAACACCAGAUGGAGCUACCACAAUGGAGGGUCAUGGCCAGUGCUGCUGUGGCUCCUGGUGGCGGUGAGCGUGAAGCUGGGGCGGCCCCACAUCGCCCGCAACGCGGUGGAGCUGAUGGAGGCGCGUCUGGCCAAGGACGACUUCCCCGAGUACUACGACGGCAAGACGGGGCGGUACAUCGGGAAGCAGUCGCGCAAGUUCCAGACGUGGUCGGUGGCGGGCUACCUGGUGGCCAAGAUGCUCCUGGACGACCCCUCCAACCUCCGCGCCGUCUCCCUGGAGGACGACGGCCACAUCCGGGAGCCCGUCCUCAAGCGCAGCAACUCCUGCCCGGGCCUGCACAUGUCACACUGA